CUGAGGCUAGUAACAGAAUCGGUUUCCUAGGCUUGUGAAACGGAGGUGAAUUAACACCCAGAAAGCGCUUAGGAUGAUGCCUGGCUUGUCGUAACUGCUACUAAGUGUCACUGAUUGUUGUAUCCUCCCCACCAUCGGUACCACUGCUGUUACUCCAGGGAGCUCUCAGCCCACGAGGGGCCAGUGGGACCCAUCACACCCUGGAGAGGUUGUGACCCUUGUGGGCUGAGUCUGCUUGGGAGGGGUAAUGGCAAAGCCCUUCUGUUUCUGCUGCGGCUAUCCCCCCGCCCCCCGCCAGGCACCUAACUGCCCCAAGGGCACAUAAGGGCACAUGCCAGCCUCGAAGCCCAAAGCCCCCAGGGUCCCGGGUGAGGACUGGCCUACAGUCCCUGCCUGUGUGAGGUCCACCAGCCACUCGGCUGGCGUUCUCCUCACCUGGUCUCAUCACCAGACUCUCCAGGAGGAGACGCUGCAGCAUUGCAGACUCCACACUGGCCGCCAGAGCCAGCAGCCCUGUGUUGGGAUGACCGGGUUGGGAUUAUUCUUCCCCCAUCCCUCUGCCCGGAGGCCACACAGGCUCCAGAUGGGAAGGCUGGGCUCACACCUGGAUGGCUUCCCUCCUGUAUGGGAGUCCCCUCCAGCCCCUUGACCUUGGCUGCUCUCUCCCUUCUCCCCACUCAUGCCAGCCCCCCUAGUCCUCACCCCCCAACACUGCCAUGUCCAGUUCUACUGUUCUUCAGGGUCUAUUGUAGCCCCCUCCUCCUCCAAGGCCCCUCCCUGGCGUCUCCAAGUCCUCUGUUUCCAUUGCUCCCACCUCUGGGGAUCUGGGUAGCAUUAUGGUGGAUUCUGUCUUAUCUAACCCCACAGUACUGGUAGUCAUGUUUUAAAAGAAUAGAACAAGCUUUUUAAGUUUUUCUCUUGAGUUAAAAAUGAUUCGGGAGUUCCUGUCUUGACGCAGCGGAAACGAAUCCGACUAGGAACCAUGAGGUUGCGGGUUCGAUCCCUGGCCUUGCUCAGUGGGUUAAGGAUCCGGCAUUGCCAUGAGCUGUGGUGUAGGUCGCAGAUGUGGCUCAGGUCUGGUGUUGCUGUGGCUGUUACAUAUGGAGGUUCCCAGGCCGGCAGCUGCAGCUCCAAUUCGACCCCUAGCCUGGGAACCUCCAUAUGCUGCAGGUGCGGCCAUUAAAAUAAAUAAAUAAAUAAAAUAAAAGAUCCAGUUGAUUUUAAAAAUUCAACCAUCUGGAGACUGUGGAAAGAAGAGGCGGGAGGACUGGCCAUCCCAGUAUAUGGAGAUGACCUACCUGGGUUUGCAGCUUCGUGGCCAGCCUGUGGGCAGAGGGUACCUGUGAACACACCCACUUAUCCAGAGUUUGCUCUGUGCCAGGUUCCAGGCUAAGUCUCCAUGUCUUUCUCUUUAAAUCCUAAACCCCAUGAGGCAGAUGCCGUUGCUCAGAGAGGCCCCGUCCGUCAUCCUUAGUCACACAGCUGGUAAAUGGAGGAGGUGACAUUAGACCGCCCCCGGGCGUGUGGCAGCCUGAACAGUCAUCUACACACUUUUGUGCCGUUCCCUAGGCUAUUUUUAUUUCGUUUCACUCAAAAGAUAGCAGGACAGCUGUUCCAUUCUUGGGCCCUCCCUGGGAGCUGGUCUGUCUCCCCACAGGGCAGUCAGGCCGAGGAGCUGAGGAGACGUUUGCUGAAGGGAUGGACAGAAGGAUAGACGGAUGCCCGGGCCAGUUUCCGUCCAAGACCUCCCUGGCUUCUGUCCCUUUCCUUCCUAUUCAGACAUUAAACAAAGCCUUCUUGGGUGGCCUGAGGGAGUCUCCUCAGCAGCAGCCAGGCUGUGAAUGGGACGCACUGGGGCUCUCAUAAAGGAAGACGUUUCCAGCCCUGGGUGUGGUGGCUUGGGUACCAUGUGACUGGCCCUCCUGGCCACCUGGCCAGAGGCACUGAGCACCUUCCCUCGGGAAGCCACCCUCCCGCCACCCUCUCACCCCUCAGUUCCUUGGGGACCCUCCCCCCAAAGAAUCGAGACCCAGUGCCAAAUAGCUUAAAUGCUGAAGAACUGUAUUCUUUGUCCUAGCACAUGGGCCCAAGGUAGGGCAGCUCCAGGGCUGGUUCUUUUAGGGCUCAGAGGCGUCAUCCCGGACCCAACCCCGUUCCAUCCAGUUCCCCAGGUGGGCCCAGGGGAGAUUCCCCUCUCCAGGAGGGCAACACGGGCAGGGAGCACUUCCUGAGAGCUGUCUUGUCUUUUUCCCCCUCAUCAAAGAAAACCUCUCCCGGAAGCCUCCUACAGAUGUUUCCUCAGGUCUCAUUGGCCAGAAGUGUACAGCAUGCUUUCGCCUAAACCAAUCACUGGUGAGGGGGGCUGAGCCCACCUGACUGGCUGGGUCCAAUCAGGACUUGUCCUGUGGGGUUGAGGUGCCCCUGAAGCACUCGGUCAGUGGGAGGUGGGCAUCUGGGCCACAUCAGGGCUGCGCAGAGGGGAAGGAGGAGAGGAGGGGAGCGUAGAGGUGACCGAGAGGUUCUCCUUCAGUCCUUGUCAUAAUUUCCUGACUUUAUAGAAGAGGGGAAGUAAAAAACUCGGAGGAGGUCCCGUUGUGGCUCAGCAGGUUAAGAACCUGACUAGUAUCUGUGAGGAUGUGGGUUGGAUCCCUGGCCUUGCUCAUUGGGUGAAGGAUCCAGCAUUGCCACCAGCUGCAGUGUAGGUAGUGGACGUGGCUCAGAUCCUGUGUUGUCGUGGCUGUAGCGGUGGCAGCUGUAGCUCCAAUUUGACCCCCCUCUAGCUCCGAAACUUCCAUGUGUCAUGGGUAUAGCCGUAAAAAGAAAAUUUAAAAAAGAUGAGAAGUUGAAUAACCCUCUAGCGUCACACUCCAGGGUCCCCAAGCCACAGGUCCCUAAUGAAGCCACACUGGAUGGAGCCAUCUGCCGCCCAGCCUUCCACUCCAUCGAUUUCUCUCCUUCUUCUCUUUAUCUCCCUAACCCCUUGCCCACCGCAGACAUCCUUUCAAUGAAUAAGGGCUCCAAUGCCCUUAUUUUCCAAAUGGGGAAACAGGCCCAGACAGGGAGGGGUCUCCCCAGGACCAUUCUGUGAGGUCACUGAUGGCAGAGCUGGGACGAGACUGAGGGUCAAGGGAAGCACAGCAUCCCUGAGGCUCACGACCCUGCUUUGCACCUCAGCCCGUGCUGCAAGCAGCCCCUCAGCUUCCCUGCUGAGUGGCUGCCCCCUACCCACUCUGCCAGGUGGGACACUCUACAGACUAUGGUGUCCGUUUCUCAGUCACAGUCUCGCUCGAGCCUCGCAGUGGUCCUGCGAGCUGGUCCGAGUGCACUGAGGAUGUGGAAACUGAGGCCCAGAGAGGAAGACGGUCUGCGGCCACGCCACCCUCAACGCGCCGGAUCUGGUCUGACCUCAGAGGCUAAGCAGGGUCGGGCCUGGGUUGUACUCGGAUGGGAGAGGUAGUGUGACUUGCCCAGGCUCACGCCGCGGGAACGUGCUGAAGCCCCGGCAGAGCCGGCUUUGCCGCCGCGAGACCUGGGUUUAAAGCUCUGCGGUCAUCAUCUUGAAAUUCCAGAUGCAUUUUAAACAGGGGGCCCGCUGUCUCCAUCUGUACUGGCCCCGCCAAUCGUGAAGCUGACCCUGAGUCCCCAACCUGCUGACUCCUCGGGGGGCUUCGUCCAAGGUGCUCUUCCCCACCCACUUGUGGUGUAGUCGGGGCAAGUCUGAUUCCAUGGGACAGCCCUUCCCAGGGAGGAGAGCAGGCUUCCAAGGCCACCGCCAGGACCACUGACAGGUGCCCCUCUCUGUCCUUGUCCCCAGCCUGACUUCCCCUCCCCUCUUCUCCCUCGAAGAAUUAAUGGAUGAGCCCAUGGCUGCCUCCCCCACGCCCCCACCCCCGUGCCCUUUGUCCCUUGGGUGGUGGGGGCUCCAGAAUAUAGGGCUCCAUUGUGUGCGGACACCAGGCAGCUGGGCUGCCUGGAAAAGUGGAUAAACAAGCCGCCUGAGCACGUGGCCAUGAGGCCCGAGGAGGGGGCAGGACCUCACACGGAGGUGGGCGUGGAUUCCAAUCGGACCCACCCUGGGCUGAGGCCGGCCUGGCUCCCCCUGUAAGAUGGAAUGACCCUGGGAGCUCUGUUGUGGCUCAGCGGUAACCAACCCGACUAGUAUCCAUGAGGAUGCGGCUCCGUCCCUGGCCUCGCUCAGUGGGUUAAGGAUCCGGCCUUACUGAGAGCGGUGGUGUAGGUCGCAGACGCGGCUUGGAGCUGGCAUUGCUGUGGCUGUGGUGUCGGCUGGUGGCUGUAGCUCCGAUUCAACCCCUAGCCUGGGAACCUCCGUCUGCUGCAUGCGUGGCCCUAAAAAGACAAAACAAACUAACCAAAAAGAGGUGGAAUGACCGGGCUCUUUCAUGGGGCUACCAGGAGGCCAGAAGAAGUGAGUCUUGGGAAGAAGUGCUCAAAAUAACUCCUGACCCCUGGAACGUGCCCCUCAGCUGGGAGCGGUGGCACUGGCAACUGUCACUGCUCUGUCGGUGCCUCCAGACCUUCCCCGUCAAGGGCAGCCUCCUGGGCGUGGCUUCUGAGCCCUUCUCCUGCAGAGUCCGGUCCCUCUGUCCCCGGCCUCAUGCUCCAUGAUGCCUCCCUCCCACAUGCCCACCUCCCGGGCCUCUGGCACCCGAGCUCUUGCCCCAUCCCAGCCCGCUCGCUUUGCUCCUUCCCUGCCAGCUGCCUCCUCUCCCCCCAGCAGAACACAGUCCAGCCAGUCCUGGGAGGCAGGAAGCCCCGGUCCAGGUUCCUUACCCCAGUGUCCCCACAGGUGUCCCUCGAGAGGACUCAGCCCCAGGGAGUCUCCCCCCCAGAAGCACUUUGAAGGUGGUCCAGGCUCUGCGGGGUCAGGGGGACUGUGGCGACUCCCAGCAAUGGUCUGGGGCAGCAGAGGUGGGCACGGGCUGAACAGCUGCCUGAACUGGAAGCACCGCCCGGCCUGUUCUCCAUGCUCCCACCCCCCCCAGCUCUUAGGGGCCCCUGGUCCUGGCCCUUUGGUUAGAAAUCUGAGGUUUGGGCCACCCUGUGCUAUUCCACAGUGCCAGUGACUGGCCUCCAGCAGGAUGCCAGGGUGAGAGGAAAAAGAGAGAAACCAGUAACAGGACCCCCCUUCCCCAUUUUGACCACAGGGACCCUUUUUUCCAAGUUUCUCAUUCCACAGAGAAAGGUUUCCUCCUCUCAGAGCUUUAGGCGCCGCCUGGCUGCUGCUACCACCCACCUCUGAGGCUGCGCCUUGCCCUGGGGUAGGGCUGGGAGGGAUUUUAAAAAGACCAAAGCGGCAUUUCUCCCACUCUCUCUGUCCCAAAGGGGCCCCCUUCCCUGGCUUCUCAUCAAAAUGAGAGUUUCUUUGGGAGUUCCCAUUGUGGUGCAGUGGAAACGAAUCUGACUGGUAACCAUGAGGUUGCAGGUUCAAUCCCUGGCAUCACGCAGUGGGUCAGGGGUCCAGCAUUGUCGUGAGCUGUGGUGUGGCUCGGAUCCUGCUUUGCUGUGGCUGUGGUACAGGCUGGCAGCUGUAGCUCUGAUUCAACCCCUAGCCUGAGAACUUCCAUAUGAAGCAGGGUGACCCUAAAAAGCCAAAAACAGAAGAAAACAAAACAAAACAAAAAAACACACAAAAGUGUCUUUUGGAGCUUUUUCUGUUCACACCUGCUAUGCAGUUCUUGAUGACACCUUGCUUCCCACACGCCCACCUACCUGAGUCUCAGCUGGAAAAUAUGUGAGAAAAAAUAAAUUAGGGGACUUAGCACCAUCUACAUCUUACUUCAAGUUUUUUAAUUUGUUUGCUUUUAUUUUUUGUUGUUGUUUGUUCAAGUUUUAAUUUUCCUCCCAAUUUACCUGCUACAAUUUACAUUUGGAGUCCUUGUACAGUUGCUUUAUAUAUUCUGUCCAGAGUUUUUAGUUCUGAUCAGUGGAACAGACAGAGUGUGUUGUACUGACUCCAUCUUAACCUGAACCAGAAGCCUUUUGGAUCUUGGUGAUUUAUUUUAAACAUUUAAGUCUGUCUGCACCUGCACUUGGAAUGCUAGUUAGACCUGGGCUUUAGCAGCACAACAUUGGAACUUGUGCUUUUUCCUUUAAAUAUUCUAAUUCUUUUAUUUAUUGAGGUUGUGCCCAUGGCAUGCAAAUGUUCCCUGCCAGGGCUGGAAGCGGCACCACAGCGGUCACCCAAACCACAGCAGUGCUGAGUCCUCCAUCACUAGGCCACCAGGCACUCCCCUCCUUCAAAUAUUCAAGUGCUUGGAGUCCCUGCUGUGACACAACAGAAUCAGUGGCGUUCGAUCCCCAGCCUGGCACAAUGGGCUCGGGAUCCAGUGUUGCUGAAGCUGUGGCAGCAUAGGUCACAGCUGUAGCUUGGAUUUUAGAUCUGAUCCCUGGCCUGGGAACUCCAUAUGCCACAGGGUGGCCAGAAAAAAAAA
Molecule: long non-coding RNA, 6452 nt
Filed under: Sus scrofa (pig)
Lineage: Eukaryota; Metazoa; Chordata; Mammalia; Artiodactyla; Suidae
Source: RNAcentral